GCCUGUAAGGGACCAAUAUGGCUGAAGGAGGAGAACCACGAGAAAAAAAAAACAGCAAAAGAAGCGAAUGAAAAUGUCUAAAGCGCUCAAGAAGGGUUUUGAACCCUUAGACACUAUUAGAGAUAUGAAGGUACUUACUGAAUGGCGGUGUGCUGGUAGAAAUGUUACCGGCAGUAAAGAAUGCUCCUUAGAUGUUCCUAGAUGUACAGAAUUCAUCACGAAUUGACUAGUGGGAACUGCACUUGUUGACGAAAGGUCGUCGCGAUGACUGAAAUCAUUCUGGAAUAUAAUGGGCAUGCAAUUCAAUCAGUCCAUGCAAAAAUAAAGACUACUAUUAUAUCAGUUUAUUUACAAAAUCUUUUAUUCAUAAAAGAUUUUGCUAUUUUACAAAUGACCUUUUGUUAUCAUUGCUAUCACAA
This is a long non-coding RNA of Amphimedon queenslandica, 419 nucleotides long. RefSeq lists it as uncharacterized. The transcript has 2 exons. The record is from RefSeq and is a predicted model, not a curated record. Lineage: Eukaryota; Metazoa; Porifera; Demospongiae; Haplosclerida; Niphatidae.